Molecule: transfer-messenger RNA, 404 nt
Filed under: bovine gut metagenome
Rfam family: transfer-messenger RNA
About the family: Bacterial tmRNA, also known as 10Sa RNA or SsrA, is named for its dual tRNA and mRNA-like properties. Its role is to liberate the mRNA from a stalled ribosome.
Source: RNAcentral
GGGGCUGACUUGGAUUUGACAGCGUGACGAGGUGGUGGGCAAGCAUGCAGAGCGAUGAUGGCAAAGGCUCUUUAAUAUCAGUCAUCAGCAAAGUUUAAAUGGCGAAAACACUGUCGCUCUUGCUGCCUAAACCGAAGCACAGUAGGUUGGCUUAAUCGCUGCCCAAGGCGGUAGCGACAAGACAUCACCCGAUGGCCCGAGCCUCGAGGCUUAUCGAAACGGUGGUGCUCGCAUAUCGAGGAUAGACUCGGGAAACGUCCCGCCAUCGAGUCGAAAUUUUAGGGAAUAAGUCCGCGGUUGGUCGUUGUGAGCCUGCCUCGGGACGAAAAACAAGUCACGACUAAGCAUGUAGAAAACCCAUGAUUUCCGCGUUUGGACGAGGGUUCAAACCCCUCCAGCUCCAC